Molecule: ribosomal RNA, 518 nt
Filed under: Maorrancaris investigatoris
Lineage: Eukaryota; Metazoa; Arthropoda; Malacostraca; Decapoda; Benthesicymidae
Description: partial large subunit ribosomal RNA
Rfam family: Bacterial large subunit ribosomal RNA
Source: RNAcentral
GUCUGUAUGGUUGUUAUAUAGAGUCUAGCCUGCCCACUGAUGUAUAUUAAAGGGCCGCGGUAUUUUGACCGUGCGAAGGUAGCAUAAUCAUUAGUCUUUUAAUUGAAGGCUUGUAUGAAUGGUUGGACAAAAAGCGAGCUGUCUUUGCUAUAGUGUUUGAAUUUAACUUUUGAGUGAAAAGGCUCAAAUAAUUUAGGGGGACGAUAAGACCCUAUAAAGCUUUACAAUAAAGAGGUGAAGCAUAAUUUGUUAGUUUAACUUGCUCCACCUUGGAGUUGUUUCGUUGGGGCGACGAGAAUAUAAUUUAAAUAACUGUUCUUUCAUAAAAUUAACAGUGUUAGUUGGGCGGAGAAUUGAUCCUUUAUUAGAGAUUAAAAGAUUAAGUUACUUUAGGGAUAACAGCGUAAUCUUCUUUAAGAGUUCAGAUCGACAAGAAGGGUUGCGACCUCGAUGUUGAAUUAAGGGUUCCUUGUGGUGCAGCAGUUGCAAAGGAAGGUCUGUUCGACCUUUAAAUCCUU